This is a long non-coding RNA of Cyanistes caeruleus (blue tit), 1728 nucleotides long. The record is from Ensembl. NCBI's taxonomy places the organism in Eukaryota, Metazoa, Chordata, Aves, Passeriformes, Paridae.
GAAAUUUCAAAAAAAUCCCAGGAAUUCCUGGAAUUCUGCUGCUUCCCAAAAAUCCCGGCAAUUCCCAAAAAUCACAGGAAUUCCCAAAAAUUCAAUUCCCAAAAAUCCCAGAAAUUCUCUAAAAGUCCAAUUCCCAAAUAUCCAGGAGUUCUCAAAAAUCCUCUGUUCCCAAAAAUCCCGGGAAUUCCUAAAAAUCCUGGAAACUCCCAAGAAUCCCAAAAAUUCCCAAAAAACCCAAUUCCUGAAAAUCUGAAAAAUUCCCCAAAAUUCCUCUCCUUCCCAAAAAUCCCGGAAAUCCCCAAAAAUCUGCUGCUUCCAAAGAUUCAAUUCCAGGAAAUCCAUUCAUUCCCAAAAAUCUGGGACUUCCCGGAAAUCCAGGAAAUUCCCAAAAAACCCCGACUUCCCAAAAAUUCCCCAUUCCCUGUUCCUGUUUCUCAUUCCCGUUUUUCCCAUUCCCGAUUCCCAUUUUUCCCGUUUCCCAUUCCCGUUCCUGUUUCUUAUUCCUGUUUUCCUCGUUCCAAAUUUUCCCAUUUCCCCACUCCCAUUCCCGUUUUUCCCAUUUUCCCAUUCCCAAUUCCCGGUUUUCCCAUUCCCAAUUCCCAUUUUUCAUUCCCAUUUUCCUCAUUCCCAUUUUUCCCAUUCCCAUUUUUCCCAUCCCCUUUUUUCCAAUCCCAUUUUCCCCAAUCCCAUUUCCCAUUUUUCCCAAUUCCCAUUUUUCCCAUUCCCAUUUUCCUCAUUCCCAUUUUUUCCAUCCCCAUCCCUGUUUUUCCCAUUUCUGUUUUUCCCAUUUUCCCCAUUCCCAUUCCCAUUCCCAAUCCCGUUUUCCCCAUUCCCAUUUCCCAAUUCCCAUUUUUCAUUCCCAUUUUCCUCAUUCCCAUUUUUCCCAUCCCCGUUUUUCCCAUCCCCUUUUUCCCAAUCCCGUUUUUCCCAUUCCCAUUUUCCCCAUUCCCAAUUCCCAUUUCUCAUUCCCAUUUUUCCCAAUCCCGGUUUUCCCAUUUUUCCCAUUCCCAAUUCCCAUUUCUCAUUCCCAUUUUUCCCCCUUCCCAUUUUCCCAUUCCCAUCCCAGUUCCCAUUCCCAUCCCAAUUCCCAUUCCCAUUCCUCCCAUUCCCAUUUUUCCCGUCCCAAUUUUUUCCCAUUCCCUUCGUUCCAAUCCCAUUUUUCCCAUUCCCAAUUCCCAUUCCCCAUUCCCAUUUUUCCCAUUCCCAAUUCCUGAUUCUUCAUUCCCAUUUUCCUCAUUCCCAUUUUUUCCAUCCCCAUCCCUGUUUUUCCCGUUCCUUUUUUUUCCCUUCCCAUUUUCCCCAUCCCCUUUUUUCCAAUCCCAUUUUCCCCAUUCCAAUUUCCCAUUUUUCCCAUUUUUCAUUCCCAUUUUCCUCAUUCCCAUUUUUCCCAUCCCCAUCCCUGUUUUUCCCAUUCCCUUUUUCCCAUUUUCCCCAUUCCCAUUUCCCAAUUCCCAUUUUUCCCCUCCCCUGUUGUCCCAUUUUUCCCAUUCCCAAUUCCCAUUUUUCAUUCCCAUCUUUCCCAAUCCCAUUUUUCCCAUUCCCGUUUUUUUCCCGAUCCCGUUUUUCCCAUUUUUCCCAUUUUUCCCAUUUUUCCAAUUCCCAUUUUUUCCAUUAUCCCCUUUAAUUCCCAUUUUUUCCCAUUUUCCCAUCCCCCCAUUAUCCCAUUUUUCCCAUUAUCCCAUUUUUCCCAUCCCCCCUUAUCCCAUUUUUCCCAUUCCCAAUUCCUGA